AUGCAGUUCAGGCCAGAUCACAAGGAAACACAGCCUUCUCUUCUUCUCCUGUAAAACUCCAAUCCUGCUUUGUUCGGGGGGAGUUACCUGGUUUUCAGGUUCUCUCUCAUGUGUGUCAACUAAUAAAUACUGUCCUUUAUUUGAAUCACUUAAACUAUUUGCUUACUUCAUUUCAUGUCUUGGGGUUUGAAAAAAAAAAUGUACUUGGGAAUAGAAUGCCUUGUUUUUGCCAGAACACAAAAAUGUCAUCAGGAAACCCCUACGUGUUGCUUAUAAAAGCAUGUAUAAAAGCUACGGCAAUCUCAUCAUCAAAACCCCUAAAAUCAGGUGCCACUUAAUAAAAUGUACUAAAAGAUAGCUGUAAAAUAAAAAAUUGUCAUUGGAUAGUAUAUGCUUAUUUUUUAUUAAUUGUAAUGCAUUUGGGAUAGUUGAUACAGGUGGCAAAUGUAGUUUCUAUGAAGUAUAUCUUGAAUUUUUAUCUAUGUAGGCAGGAAUGGGUACAUUUUGGGAAUUGUGAGUAAACAAAAUAUUUCUGGGAGAAGAAAGGAUUUUAUUAAGAAUAGGAAGGACUGAGGGAACCUGGUGCUCAUACACAAUAGACACGUGGAGAAAGAAUUCCAGAGAGUGCAUCAAGAUGAUGGACCAAUCAGAGGACCCAAGGGGAAAGCAGACUGCACAUGCUAGAUUCACAUCUCAUGAAUUACAAAAACCCUGGAUAAGGCUUCUCAUCAUAAGAAGAUGUGAACAAAACAUACUCAAAUUUCCAAAAAUGUUAAGAGACUCUAUCAAAAUUAUGAAUGAACUUGGGAAGAUAAUGGGUUUUGCACUGUGGCCCAGGUACAAAAAAGCCAGUUUUUUCUUUUGGCAGGGAGGGGCUGGGAAGGUUGUUAAAGAGAUGAGCUUGAAAAGUUCCAUUUGCAAGUGAGAGAUGAUUGUAAAGAGAAGGACCUGUGUGCCCUCACCUAGGUUGGAAAGAGCUCAGACAUAACCAGAUCUUGUGCCAUGACCAAAAAUCGGUUAUUUAUACUCCAAAAUCCAUCAUCUUACAUCUUUGUGAGAUUAUAUAUUCUUUUUGAGUGUGGUAAGAUUGCUAUAACCCUGGGAGGUAUAAUAUAAACAUAAUAAAAAGUGAAGAAAUAAAUCAAUAUCAUAAUAUCACUUUUGUAUUAGGGUAAGAACUAUAAAAAUAAAUUUUGAAACCAUUAUAAUACCCUGUAAUGCCUGUUUCCAAGGUGACAAUCAAUUAAAAAUUUCUCAAAUUAAAUUUGAUUUUAUUGAAAAGUUUUGUAGAAUUUGAUUAAUUACAUUUAGAAUCAAGAUUUAAAUACUUAAGAGAAUUCACACAAUGUGUACAUGUUUAUAUGUUGGUGAUGUUUAAGGGUUUAGAAACACUGUAACAAAUAGAUUUGUAGAUUUUAACAAACUGAAUGUUAAAUAGUCAAGCCAGAAGUAGAAGUAUGCUUCAUGUUCAGGUUUGAAAGUUUCAUAAAACAAAAGCUGACGUUCAACACCGCAAAAUAUAUAGUGAAGGAAUAACAUGAAGAAGUCUCCUUGUAGUGGUGGGACAAUCUGUAUCCUGAUUAUGCUGAUAGUUAUGUGGAUCCACAUACUUAAAAUUUCAUAGUGCUAUAAACUCCUCCAAAAUAAAUGAUUUAAGAUGAGAGUGUGUAAAACAUGAUGCAAUUCAAAUUCGGUCUGUACCUAAGUUAAUUUUACGAUAUAGACGUCAAUGUUCUGGUUUUGACACAUUCUAUGUAUUACGUAAGAUAUUAUCAUUGGAGGAAGCUGGGUGAUGGGUACGUGGAAAUUCUCCAUACUAUUUUCGAGAUUUAUUGAGAAUAUUAAGCUAUUUCAAACCAAAACUCUUUUUAAGAAUAUAUAUGUAGAUAUUAGUUAUUGUAAAAAGAAUAGGCAUAGGCCACCUUAGUGCUGCAGACAGGUGGGUCAGCAGAGCCUGUGUCAGCUUCCCACUGUCCCUUUGCCUCAACUGGAUGUUCUGCCUGUGAACUCAGGUAUUGGUAUGACAGGAGGUAGAUCUUGAUGAGUCUGCCAUGGCAGCUUAUUGUUUCUUAUUAUCAUUAAUAUUCUUGUAGGAUUAAAUGCAACAGGAAACAGCUAUGAGCCUCAGCACCACAAAAACAAUCAUACACAAUCUUUCUUCCCACUAGAUGAUGCCUCCCUGAAAAUUAAUCUUCAGGCAUCCCUUUAGAUCAUUUCUGCCCGCACAAAAGGUUUUUGGAUGUUAAAGAUGCCACUCUCCCAUUUAAAAACCACCUAGUUGGAGCUCCCGUCGUGGCUCAAUGGAAACGAAUCGGACUACCAUCCAUGAGGAUGCAGAUUCGACCCCUGGCCUUGCUCAGUGGGUUAAGGAUCUGGUGCUGCCAUGAGCUGUGGUCUAGGUCGAAGAUGCAACUCGGAUUUGAAGUUGCCGUGGUGUAGGCCAGUGGCUACAGCUCUGAUUCGACCCCUAGCCUGGGAACCAUAAGCUGUGGGAGCGAGCCUAAUACAUAACUGGUGCUCAAUAAAUAUUUUUGAAUGAAUGAAGAAAAGCUCCUAUUGUUGGUGCUUAUUCUGAGAAGUACAAAUAAGGGUGAUCAGACUUAUACUGUACUUAUAUUUCAGGGCAAUUUGAUAUUCUUAAAUCAAGCAUAAGCUAAUUUUGCAACUAAGUUUAAGAAAACAUACAUCCGCAAACACACAUUUAUGCCUGGAACAACAGAUCACUACAAAGGUCUUGAUAGCUUUAACAUUCUAUGAUCCUAGACUUUCCAAAUUGUUCUCACCAGAUUAAGGAAGGGCACAUGGCACAGUUUAGCUCUAAAUGGUAAGGUAUCAAGGGAGAAUCAAUGGAUUCCAUUUUGCAAUUAUGAAUACACAAAUUAACACAUGCACCUGUGUUCUCACCCUAAUUCCUAUAAAGGAUGGGUCAAGGACAUCAAUUACCUCUAAACACCAGUUAUGCUGGGAGAAAACAGAGGCAAUAGCAUUUCGGAAGGUGGAGGUGUGUAUUGAGGGAGUGGGAUGGCUCUUUGCAGAUUGAUUCUUUCCUUCUCCAUCUGGUCUCUAUGUAUGGAGAAGCAGAAUCUGUGCCCCCAUAUCUUGGCCUUCACUUUGAGCAUUAUCACUGUUAUGUGUGAGUGAGCUGAGGUAGGAAGGGAUCAUUAAAUUUUUGGUAUGCCCUUUCCUUUUCCAUAAAGUAUUUAGGCAUCCCACAAAAAUACAAAAGAUAUAUCAAGACAAGUCUAAAGCAGAAGACAAAGAAAGGGCCAAAGAGGCGUGAAUGUGAAAUGGAAGCAGAAGUGAGGGCUAAAUAAAACCAUGCCUCUCAGAGACCUACCCUCUUUGCAAAUGGGGUGCAAACAUUGGCUGGAACCUUUCACAGUUCUAGUAUAUAAAGGGAAACUGAAUCAAUGACACUUAUUGCAAUACUUCUAACAUAAGAUAAAUCAAAUCAAUUGCUUUGUCAAUUGAGAGCCAUUCCCCAUAGCAAAGUAGAAAGGUUUUCUGAAAGUUUCUAUAAAGAAGAUGUUAUUCUUAAUCUCCUUGCGGUGAUGUUUAACUUGAUUUCUUUUAAUAUAGGGCAAUGGCAUAAGUCCAAGAUGCAAUUAGGUUGAAACAAUUAUCUGGUGAUGGGAGAGAUGGUGGAGUGUGAAGUGGGGGUGGAGGCUGUGAAUGACACUUUAAUAUAAAUAUAUGUGCCUUUAGCAUAAUCAUAUACAUUUUCUUCAGUCAUUCCAAGAUGAAAAUUGGCAAGCAUACUUUUUUUUUUCUGUACCAAAUUAGAAUCUGCCCCAGGACUAAGGGAAACAGAGCUGGGAGACUGAUCGUUAAAAGCCAGUAAAAGUCAUUAUUUCUGCCUCACUGGUCAGGCAUAUUUUGGGCAAAUGAGUCAGCAUGAGAGGGAUGUUGGGGCUAGACUUUAUCAGAAGUUACAUAAAUUUUUCCAGAGUGACUAAAGCUGUUCUGGCUAGUUAUUUAAAGCUUUGGGGAGGAGAAGGACUGAGGAGGUGGGGAGGAACUGAACUUACUUUGUGACUGGGGCAGCUUUGAUUGGGCAACUUCUCUGUUCUAGCUUUCUGUGAAAUGCCCCCUUUCCGGGGUUUAAUAUCACUGUCUUAAGUAUAAGUUGCUCAAGUUGGCCAAAACCCACGAAUUCCCAACUCUGGAAUAUCUGACAAAGGUUCCAGCCUGUGAAUGCAUUCUUCCAUGUCAGAUCAGUUGUUCAGUGCAUUUGCUGGCCCUUAGAGGUAAGGCUAUCUCAGUGACUCAUUUUGAUUCUUCAGGCAAUAACUAAGUACAUGCUAUGUACUCGAUAUGUAUGCGGUUCUUAAGGAGAUGACUGAGAUCAAAACGUAUGUUCUGUCCUCAAGAAGCUCAUGAUAAAGUGGCAAAGACAGGCCUGAAGAUAAUGCUAAGAGUGCCAAGAAUGUGAUCAUAACAGAACCAGUGCAUGGUUUCUGGAGCCAGAAGAGAAGAGAAUGGACUUUUAGGAAAGGCUUUCAUGUGUCUCUUUUGUUGAGGCAUCUACCAUGUAGCAAUGCUCAAAAUUUAGCACACAGCUAGACGGAUGAAUUAAGAGGAGUAGUGUUAACUGGACAAGAAAGACUGAGGUAUGAAGAGCUGGGGAUGCGUAGAAAAGACGUCCAAGGUCAGAAAGCUACAUGGAGGCAUGAAAAAGUACAGUGAGUAAUAGAGUUGGAUGAAUUUAGAUAAAGAAUAGCCUGGAACAUUGUUGACACCCAGAUAAACCUGUUAGUUUUAAAAGGAACACUCUCCUGUACUUUAGUAUUCUAAAGAGCGAGUUUUAGAGCACAUAGAAACCCUUGGAGAUGAAGGCAGACAAACACUGUUCUAAGAUUAAGCUUGGCUAAUCUAAGUCAUGUACUAUUGGGAUGUGAAUGAUAUGGCAUAAAGCCAGGAUUUUCUAAGGAAGACGCAAUUAUACCUGCUAGGUCUCCCUUCUCACUGCUGCCUACCUUCCGUAGGCACAGCCCUUGGGGAAUAAAGGUAAUAUGCUCUAUGAGCAGAGGGUUGGUACACUAAAUGGGGAUAACUGAGGAGAGCUUAAUGAAGAGAGUAUAAAAUUGUGGGUAGGGUUAGAGGAAACCAGCAAAGGAUGGUGAGGGUGUGGGGGUCUUAAGACCAUUUGGAAGCCAUUACUGCUCUUAGGACCAAACAGGCAAGGGAAUGGAGUGGUUGUCAAAACCCAGAAGGAGCUGUGGCUCUGGGUGAAGGAAGGAGCAGGUCACCAACAGGAACUGUGGCCUCCUAUGGAGGAACCCCCUGCCCACCUGUGACCAAGGAGGGAGCUGAGGAAUGAACCCCCCAGACCUCUCUCCUCUCAGUUUCCUUGUGGUCCUUCCUCACGUGCAAAAGUCUUCCCCAACCGGAAGCCAGAGUGCAAAGAUGCCUGUGGCACAGUCCCUAGUGGUCAGCCUCCUGGCAGAGCAGGCAGAGAAACAUGGAGAAGGACUAUGGAGAAGAACUCAGAGCCAAUUCAGCCCACACGGAGAAGACUGAAGCUCAUCUUCCUCAGAGGAUCUCAGGGGACCCACAUGACACCUGUGAUUAUCAUGGCAUGGCGAGGAAGAAAUACAGACACCUCUGCAGAUUUAAAGGGUCCAACUCUCCCAUAUUUCAAUAGGCUGGGCUUUCCAUGAUACAGAAUUAUCUGCAAGCUCCAGCUAACUCAUUCUCCACUCUAAGCACUCCUAUCCCAAAGGGGUCAGGGCUAUCAUUACUUUCUCAAAUGUUGGUGA
Molecule: long non-coding RNA, 5759 nt
Filed under: Sus scrofa (pig)
Lineage: Eukaryota; Metazoa; Chordata; Mammalia; Artiodactyla; Suidae
Description: lncRNA (ENSSSCG00030014824.1)
Source: RNAcentral